UGAGGGCCAACGCCCGCUGUGAUGGGUAGGGGAGCGUCGUGUGCCGGGUGAAGCAGCCGUGGAAGCGAGUUGUGGACGGUUCACGUGUGAGAAUGCAGGCAUGAGUAGCGAUUCACACGUGGGAAACGUGUGCGCCGAUUGACUAAGGGCUCCUGGGUCAAGCUGAUCUGCCCAGGGUAAGUCGGGCCCUAAGGCGAGGCCGACAGGCGUAGUCGAUGGAUAACCGGUUGAUAUUCCGGUACCCGCUGUGAAGCGUCAAACAUUGACUCCCGUGAUGCUAAGCCCGUGAAGCCGUUCCGGGCAGUUCGGGGAAUGGAAAGUGGUGGAGACGGUGGCCCAAGAUGGUAGUAGGUGAGUGAUGGGGUGACGCAGGAAGGUAGUCCAUCCCGGGCGGUGGUUGUCCCGGGGUAAGGGUGUAGGCCGUGCGAUAGGUAAAUCCGUCGUACAUGUGGCUGAGACCUGAUGCCGAGCCGAUUGUGGUGAAGUGGAUGAUCCUAUGCUGUCGAGAAAAGCCUCUAGCGAGUUUCAUGGCGGCCCGUACCCUAAACCGACUCAGGUGGUCAGGUAGAGAAUACCGAGGCGUUCGGGUGAACUAUGGUUAAGGAACUCGGCAAAAUGCCCCCGUAACUUCGGGAGAAGGGGGGCCAUGUCUGGUGAUGAGUCUUGCACUCUGAGCUGGGUGUGGCCGCAGAGACCAGCGAGAAGCGACUGUUUACUAAAAACACAGGUCCGUGCGAAGCCGUAAGGCGAUGUAUACGGACUGACGCCUGCCCGGUGCUGGAACGUUAAGGGGACCGGUUAGUCACAUUUCGGUGUGGCGAAGCUGAGAACUUAAGCGCCAGUAAACGGCGGUGGUAACUAUAACCAUCCUAAGGUAGCGAAAUUCCUUGUCGGGUAAGUUCCGACCUGCACGAAUGGCGUAACGACUUCUCGACUGUCUCAACCAUAGGCCCGGUGAAAUUGCAUUACGAGUAAAGAUGCUCGUUUCGCGCAGCAGGACGGAAAGACCCCGGGACCUUUACUACAGUUUGAUAUUGGUGUUCGGUUCGGCUUGUGUAGGAUAGGUGGGAGACUGUGAAGCAUGCACGCCAGUGUGUGUGGAGUCGUCGUUGAAAUACCACUCUGGUCGUGCUGGAUGUCUAACCUGGGUCCGUGAUCCGGAUCAGGGACAGUGUCUGAUGGGUAGUUUAACUGGGGCGGUUGCCUCCUAAAGAGUAACGGAGGCGCCCAAAGGUUCCCUCAGCCUGGUUGGUAAUCAGGUGUUGAGUGUAAGUGCACAAGGGAGCUUGACUGUGAGACCGACGGGUCGAGCAGGGACGAAAGUCGGGACUAGUGAUCCGGCGGUGGCUUGUGGAAGCGCCGUCGCUCAACGGAUAAAAGGUACCCCGGGGAUAACAGGCUGAUCUUCCCCAAGAGUCCAUAUCGACGGGAUGGUUUGGCACCUCGAUGUCGGCUCGUCGCAUCCUGGGGCUGGAGUCGGUCCCAAGGGUUGGGCUGUUCGCCCAUUAAAGCGGUACGCGAGCUGGGUUUAGAACGUCGUGAGACAGUUCGGUCCCUAUCCGCUGUGCGCGCAGGAAUAUUGAGAAGGGCUGUCCCUAGUACGAGAGGGCCGGGACGGACGAACCUCUGGUGUGCCAGUUGUUCUGCCAAGGGCAUGGCUGGUUGGCUACGUUCGGGAGGGAUAACCGCUGAAAGCAUCUAAGCGCGAAGCCUGCUUCGAGAUGAGUAUUCCCACCUCCUGGAGAGGGUAAGGCUCCCAGUAGACGACUGGGUUGAUAGGCCGGAUAUGGAAGCCCUGUAAGGGGUGGAGUUGACCGGUACUAAUAGGCCGAGGGCUUGUCCUCAGUUG
Molecule: ribosomal RNA, 1849 nt
Filed under: Streptomyces albidoflavus
Lineage: Bacteria; Bacillati; Actinomycetota; Actinomycetes; Kitasatosporales; Streptomycetaceae
Description: partial 23S ribosomal RNA
Rfam family: Bacterial large subunit ribosomal RNA
Source: RNAcentral